CACCACUUUGUGGUUCAUGACUGGGGUGAAGUCGUAACAAGGUAGCGCUAGGGGAACCUGGCGCUGGAUCACCUCCUUA
Molecule: ribosomal RNA, 79 nt
Filed under: Vibrio vulnificus
Lineage: Bacteria; Pseudomonadati; Pseudomonadota; Gammaproteobacteria; Vibrionales; Vibrionaceae
Also listed under: 1 other name
Description: partial 16S ribosomal RNA
Rfam family: Bacterial small subunit ribosomal RNA
Source: RNAcentral